UUCAACUUGAGAGUUUGAUCCUGGCUCAGAACGAACGCUGGCGGCAGGCUUAACACAUGCAAGUCGAGCGAGACCUUCGGGUCUAGCGGCGGACGGGUGAGUAACGCGUGGGAACGUGCCCUUCUCUACGGAAUAGCCCCGGGAAACUGGGAGUAAUACCGUAUACGCCCUUUGGGGGAAAGAUUUAUCGGAGAAGGAUCGGCCCGCGUUGGAUUAGGUAGUUGGUGGGGUAAUGGCCCACCAAGCCGACGAUCCAUAGCUGGUUUGAGAGGAUGAUCAGCCACACUGGGACUGAGACACGGCCCAGACUCCUACGGGAGGCAGCAGUGGGGAAUCUUAGACAAUGGGGGCAACCCUGAUCUAGCCAUGCCGCGUGAGUGAUGAAGGCCUUAGGGUUGUAAAGCUCUUUCAGCUGGGAAGAUAAUGACGGUACCAGCAGAAGAAGCCCCGGCUAACUCCGUGCCAGCAGCCGCGGUAAUACGGAGGGGGCUAGCGUUGUUCGGAAUUACUGGGCGUAAAGCGCACGUAGGCGGCUUUGUAAGUCAGAGGUGAAAGCCUGGAGCUCAA
Molecule: ribosomal RNA, 567 nt
Filed under: Scytonema hofmannii PCC 7110
Lineage: Bacteria; Bacillati; Cyanobacteriota; Cyanophyceae; Nostocales; Scytonemataceae
Description: bacterial SSU rRNA
Rfam family: Bacterial small subunit ribosomal RNA
Source: RNAcentral